GGCACUUUGGCGGAGUGGUUAACGCGCUGCCCUGCUAUCAUCCAGAGUAUUCUGGGUAAGCUGUUAGGCAGUCCCUUCGGGGGCGCAGGUUCGAAUCCUGCAGGUGUCG
This is a non-coding RNA of Lithohypha guttulata, 109 nucleotides long. The record is from the annotation of a RefSeq genome assembly. Lineage: Eukaryota; Fungi; Ascomycota; Eurotiomycetes; Chaetothyriales; Trichomeriaceae.